Molecule: non-coding RNA, 198 nt
Organism: Vicia faba (fava bean)
Lineage: Eukaryota; Viridiplantae; Streptophyta; Magnoliopsida; Fabales; Fabaceae
Source: the annotation of a GenBank genome assembly
AUGGCGCCGCACAUCAUCACCUUCACAACUCCGACAAUCUCAAUUCUCUCAGCCACCGCCAUUGUCUUUCUGAUUCACUCUGCCAUCCUCUUCUCCAUUGCAUUUGAUGCUUCAACAUCUUCUCCGUCUUAUCUUCCCUCUCAAUCAAACUCUCUUCUAAUUCUUUCGUUUCAGAUUUUGUCGCACUUGAAUCGCUAG